Molecule: ribosomal RNA, 456 nt
Filed under: uncultured bacterium
Lineage: Bacteria
Description: bacterial SSU rRNA
Rfam family: Bacterial small subunit ribosomal RNA
Source: RNAcentral
UACGGAAGGCAGCAGUGGGGAAUAUUGGACAAUGGGCGCAAGCCUGAUCCAGCCAUGCCGCGUGUGUGAAGAAGGCCUUCGGGUUGUAAAGCACUUUUGUCCGGAAAGAAAAGCUUAGGGUUAAUAACCUUGAGUCAUGACGGUACCGGAAGAAUAAGCACCGGCUAACUUCGUGCCAGCAGCCGCGGUAAUACGAAGGGUGCAAGCGUUACUCGGAAUUACUGGGCGUAAAGCGUGCGUAGGUGGUUUGUUAAGUCCGAUGUGAAAGCCCUGGGCUCAACCUGGGAAUGGCAUUGGAAACUGGCUUACUAGAGUGCGGUAGAGGGGUGUGGAAUUCCCGGUGUAGCAGUGAAAUGCGUAGAUAUCGGGAGGAACAUCUGUGGCGAAGGCGACACCCUGGACCAGCACUGACACUGAGGCACGAAAGCGUGGGGAGCAAACAGGGAUUUAGAUACC